Molecule: transfer RNA, 67 nt
Filed under: Raeta pulchella
Lineage: Eukaryota; Metazoa; Mollusca; Bivalvia; Venerida; Anatinellidae
Description: tRNA-Thr
Source: RNAcentral
GGGUUUGUAGUUUAAGAAGAAUGGGGGAUUUGUGGUCUUCAGGUGGGUAGUAAUUCUCCUAAACCCU